This 63-nucleotide non-coding RNA is filed under the name Lupinus albus (white lupine). The record is from RNAcentral. Lineage: Eukaryota; Viridiplantae; Streptophyta; Magnoliopsida; Fabales; Fabaceae.
GAGAGCCGGAUGAGGGGGGGACCUUCACGUCCGGUUCGGAGGGCGGGGAUAUUCCGACCCUAC